UAAACUUGUUGAAAUCUUCCAUGUAGCUGUGAUUGUUCUCUCCGGACAUGGAGGAUCAGUUCUUGGACAAAUUUAUCUGUCUGUUGUAUGACUUGCCACCAUUUUUUCGAAAUUUCUAUUCACAUGUUAUCAAACCAAAAAUAUUUCAAUAUCUUAAAACUUUAGUAGAAUUAAUCUGCCUCUAUUUCUGGACUCUAGCAUUUUGUGCUUCUUCACAAGUUCUAAGUUGUUAUUUGGCAAUUAAUUUAAUUUGAUCUUGAACUUUGGGUUCUUGGCACUCGCCCGUGCAGGUUAUGACUAUGUCAUAGGUGACGUGCGGAAAGGUGACCAACAAGGAGAAGAUUGCAUGAAGAAUUCUUGCUAUCAACUAGGGCUGGAUGCCCCCAGGAAGAAUACUGAAAGGAGAGCAGAGUUCAGGGCAUGUUCAGCUCCAUCCAUGCAUCAAGGGAAAUAUAUACGAGGCAAAGGAAUUACGUGUUCUGCUAGAUGACAUAGUACAAGGUUCAGCAGCGACGACAUGAUCUCAAACAUGGCACUGAGUACAAGGCAAAGUUAUGUGGUGGGUCGGAUGGAGAGCUUGGCGCGGCGAUGUGGCAGGCUGCUCUACAGUGGCACUAAUGGAGAGCUCAGUCAACGAUGACGGGGCGACCGACUGAUCUGCGGCAGCGUGGAAGGAGGGCUCGGCGGUCGACAUGGUGGCUUGAUCCGCUGUUCUGCGACGUUUCGGAGAACUUCUUGUACUGGUGUGUGUGUGUGUAUGCAUAGGUGUUGUACUAUCCUGGGCGCUCACUCCCCCAGGAUCCCACAAGUUUGCAUAGAGCUCGGACGUCGGUGGCGGCCUGGCACGCUAAUCUGCCGCCUCCACAUGAGGAGUCGUGAGAUUAGUGCAUCACAUUCAAAAGUCACCGCUCCGUGAUUAGGGCAUUGCAUUCAGGCAUUCAGUAGAUUAGAAGACAUAUUUAGCUAGCACUGGGAUCCAUCGCCAUUGUAGGGCCUUGAAUCUUUUCAAUCCUUGCCAGGACAGUUCUUGCCAUGGACGACGGGUCUCUCUGUGUGGUCUUGGUCCAAAAGCUAAAAUAGGGAAUAAGAUGUGCCUUGCCGUGUGGAGUGUUGGGUAUCUUUUGCACUUGCUCCAUCAGCUGCAGAAAUAUAGCCCAAAUGCAGCAUACUGCUACUAUUUCAUAUCAUUGAUUGAUGAUUUGUUUUUUCAUAAUUGAAUUGGCGAAUGAUGAAAAGGUGUAAUGUUCAGGGAUUUUUCCUAGAUGAUUUGUUGAUCCAGUUUAAUUUUAGUAG
Triticum aestivum (bread wheat) is the source of this 1293-nucleotide long non-coding RNA. RefSeq lists it as uncharacterized. The transcript has 3 exons. The record is from RefSeq and is a predicted model, not a curated record. Lineage: Eukaryota; Viridiplantae; Streptophyta; Magnoliopsida; Poales; Poaceae.